Molecule: long non-coding RNA, 1185 nt
Filed under: Capra hircus (goat)
Lineage: Eukaryota; Metazoa; Chordata; Mammalia; Artiodactyla; Bovidae
Description: lncRNA (ENSCHIG00000005990.1)
Source: RNAcentral
GAAAGUGAUAGUAAAAGCACAGGACGAAGGAUGUUCAUCCAGCUUGGAGGCUGAGAUAUAAGGAUAUGAGAGUGUGAAUUUCAUUCCACUCUUGGCAGAGGAAUUUGGAAUCUGUGGAAUUCUUGAUCAGAGCAACAGCAGUUUCUCAGCAGUAAGUGGAUGCAUCAGGGGAAGAGACGCUGCAGCCAUAAAGCAAUGCUGGGGUAUUAUGAACAGGACCACCUUGAGCCCAUCCCUCAGCUCUCGUCAGCAAACAUUAUCAUUUCAAGAGAAACAUGAACUGGGGCAGUCUGCGUGCAAAGGAGUCUCUCUGAGAAACUACUAUGCUGCGCAGGAAUGUGGCUUAAAAUUAAAGCAUGCCUCGGAUGACAGGUGGCCACCGUGAACUCUAUAACUUCCACAGGAAAUAGAAGCCGAAAAUAAAAGAUUUCAACCUUCAACCAAUAAUUAUUGCAUGUCCCUAGUGUGGUGCAGAGAUACAAGUGAACAAGCCAGAUCUUGCUCUUAAGGAAAUGAGAGCCAAGGAGAGGAGAGAGACAAGCAAAAGAUACUUAUAAUAUAACAUUGUGAAUUGCUACUAAUGAAUUGAAACAGCUUGAUAAGAGAGGCCCCAAAGGAUCUUCUGACCUGGAGGAUGUGAAAAAGCUUCUUGGAAAGAGUGGGAUUUAAAGAACAGAGCUUUAGAGAAGAUGUGGAUGUGGGGUGGGGGAGGGUGAAAUGUGGUAGCCCAGUACAAAUCUUCCAGGUCUCUUUGUAAGUGAUGUUCUUCUCUGACUCCUUCAAAGCAGGAUGAACUGAGCUGCCGUUGAGGCAAGGGCAAAGAAGGCCACCUAUUCUUGGGCGCACCUGCUAAGAUAAUGAAGUCCUUGUCCUUAACCAAGGUUGGCUGUCCCUUGUGCCAAGUCUAUCCACCCCUCAAUGAACUGCGUCCUCUGCAGCUACAGCUACCGCUACUUCUUAUUGAUUGCCUCUGAAAAGGCUACCACUGUUUGGCAACCAGCCUGCUCACCUUCUAGCCUGUGGAGUUCUUUUCAUUGGCUUUCCUCCCCUCUGACCUGAACUAGGCUGCAUUUGUGAGGUAACCACCACCAAGGCAAUCAAAUGCCACAAAAAACAGCAGAAAGAUGCAAAACAAACCACACCAUUUCUUCCUCCCAGGAUUUAGAAGCCCUAGGAAGAGCCAAG